Molecule: long non-coding RNA, 2031 nt
Filed under: Oncorhynchus kisutch (coho salmon)
Lineage: Eukaryota; Metazoa; Chordata; Actinopteri; Salmoniformes; Salmonidae
Description: lncRNA (ENSOKIG00005033411.1)
Source: RNAcentral
AUGUUACCAUUCCGGUUCGCAAUUCGGUCUGUUCCGUUUGUAAUCGGAAGGCACUUUGUUUCAUGGCAGAAAGUGGCUUCUGUUCCUCAGCUGCAGGGGUCGGCCUGUUGGCUGGUGGAGACCAGAGAACCUCUCUUCUCAUCUGUCUUCCACCCUUUCCCUCUGGUCUCCAUCCUCUACUCCUCCUUUCCCCUCCUUCCCCUCUGGUUUCCAUACUCCUCCUCUCUACUCAUUCCCCUCUGGUCUCCAUCCUCUACUCCUCCUCUCCCCUCCUUCCCCUCUGGUCUCCAUACUCCUCCUCUCCACUCCACUCCUUCCCCUCUGGUCUCCAUACUCCUCCUCUCCACUCCUUCCCCUCUGGUCUCCAUAUUCCUCCUCUCCACUCCUUCCCUUCUGGUCUCCAUCCUUUACUCCUCCUCUCCACCCCUUCCCCUCUGGUCUCCAUCCUCUUCUCCUCCUCUCCACUGCUUCCAAUCUGGUCUCCAUACUCCUCCUCUACACUCCUUCCCCUCUGGUCUCCAUAUUCCUCCUCUCCACCACUCCUUCCCCUCUGGUCUCCAUAUUCCUCCUCUCCACUCCUUCCCCUCUGGUCUAAAUCAUCUACUCCUCCUCUCCACUCCUUCCUAUCUGCUCUCCAUAUUCCUCCUCUCCACUCCUUCCCCUCUGGUCUCUAUCCUCUACUCCUCCUCUUCAUUCCUUCCCCUCUGGUCUCCAUCCUCUACUCCUCCUCUCCACUCCUUCCCCUCUGGUCUAAAUCAUCUACUCCUCCUCUCCACUCCUUCCUAUCUGCUCUCCAUACUCCUCCUCUCCACUCCUUCCCCUCUGGUCACUAUCCUCUACUCCUCCUCUCCACUCCUUCCCCUCUGGUCUCCAUAUUCCUCCUCUCCACUCCUUCCCCUCUGGUCUCCAUCCUCUACUCCUCCUCUCCAAUGCUUCCCCUCUGGUCUCCAUACUCCUCCUCCUCCCCCUCUGGUCUCCAUAUUCCUCCUCUCCACUCCUUCGCUUCUGGUCUCCAUACUCCUCCUCCUCUCCACCCCUUCCCCUCUGGUCUCCAUCCUCUUCUCCUCCUCUCCACUGCUUCCCCUCUGGUCUCCAUAUUCCUCCUCUCCACUCCUUCCCCUCUGGUCUCCAUAUUCCUCCUCUUCACCCCUUCCCCUCUGGUCUCCAUCCUCUACUCCUCCUCUCCACUCCUUCCCUUCUGGUCUCAAUCCUCUACUCCUCCUCUCCAACCCUUCCCUUCUGGUCUCAAUCCUCUACUCCUCCUCUCCACUCCUUCCCCUCUGGUCUCCAUAUUCCUCCUCUCCACUCCUUCCCUUCUGGUCUCAAUCCUCUACUCCUCCUCAACACUCCUUCGACUCUGGUCUCAAUCAUCUACUCCUCCUCUCCACUCCUUCCCCUCUGGUCUCCAUAUUCAUCCUCUCCACCCCUUCCCCUCUGGUCUCCAUAUUCCUCCUCAACACUCCUUCCCCUCUGGCCUCAAUCCUCUACUCCUCCUCAACACUCCUUCGACUCUGGUCUCAAUCCUCUACUCCUCCUCAACACUCCUUCCCUUCUGGUUUCAAGCCUCUACUCCUCCUCAACACUCCUUCCCUUCUGGUCUCAAUCCUCUACUCCUCAUCAACAGUCCUUCGACUCUGGUCUCAAUCCUCUACUCAUCCUCAACACUCCUUUGACUCUGGUCUCAAUCCUCUACUCCUCCUCUCCACUCCUUCCCCUCUGGUCUCCAUCCUCUACUCCUGCUCUCCACUCCUUCCCCUCUGGUCUCCAUACUCCUCCUCUCCACUCCUUCCCCUCUGGUCUCCUUAUUCCUCCUCUUCACCCCUUGUCUCCAUCCUCUACUCCUCCUCUCCACUCCUUCCCCUCUGGUCUCUAUCCUCAACUUUUCUCAUCCACUAUGCCACUGCCUUCCACAUUGCCUUGGACAUCAGUCAGUCUGACCUACCCUUCUUCAACUCUCUCAACUACACAUCUCCUCCUCUCUGCCCCACAUAUCUUGGGCAUGCCUUCCUGGUCUCAGAUACCUUGGACUAG